This is a long non-coding RNA of Syngnathus acus (greater pipefish), 1844 nucleotides long. RefSeq lists it as uncharacterized. The transcript has 3 exons. Lineage: Eukaryota; Metazoa; Chordata; Actinopteri; Syngnathiformes; Syngnathidae. The record is from RefSeq and is a predicted model, not a curated record.
AGGUGUGAGUUGGAUGAGCGGAGGCUUCGGGUGGCAGGUUUUGGGGCAAGGAGUUCUUUGAGGUAUGGGGGAGCAUGUCCGAGGAUACACUGGUGAGUGAGGAGGGCGAUCUUAUCAGUUCGGAAUUUGAUGGGUUAGGGUUAGGCCAGUGCAGAGAACGGAGGAUGGGUGUGAUGUGGUCGCUUUUCCGCACCCUCAUCAGGAUCCUAGCAGCGCUGUUUUGGAUGUACUGUAGCCUCUGGAGGCUCUUGCUAGGGAUCCCGAUGAGGAGUGCGUUACAAUAGUCUAGCCUGGAGGAGACAAAGGCGUGGACAAAUUUCUCAGCAUCCGUCAGGGUAAGUGUGGGGCAGAGUUUAGAAAUAUUCCUGCGGUGGAAGAAGGAGGUUUUGCAGAUGUGUUUUAUGUGUGACUCUAGGUUGAGUUGAGGGUCCAGUUUCACACCCAGGUUGGUGACAGUGGCUGAGAGGGGGAUAGUGUGACCGGCGAAUGAGAUGCUUGUUAUUGGGCAGGUAUGGAUCUGAUAGGGAGUGCCAAUUAACAUGGCUUGAGUUUUGUCACUGUUGACUUGCAGGAAGCUGAGAUUCAUCCACGGCUUUAUCUCCUCCAGACACAGGGAGAGGAUGGAUGAGGGAGAUGGAGGAGGCUGGGUUGUGGAGGGCGGGGGGUCGAGUUUGACGUAUAGCUGGGUGUCGUCCGCAUAACAAUGAUAUGAGAUGCCGGACUUCCUGAUUAUAUUGCCGAGGGUGAAGAGGGUAGGACCGAGUACAGAUCCCUGGGGGACACCGGAGGUGACAGUGUGUGUGUGUCGGAUUUUUUCCCUUCCAGGGAAACGUACUCGGUUCGGUUCGAGAGGUAGGACUGAAGCCAGGUUAGAGCAGUGCCAGAGAAUCCAGUGGAGUGCGGUUGAUUAAGGAGGAUAUUGUGGUGGACAGUGUCAAAUGCAGCAGACAGAUCCAACAGAAUGAGGAGUGACGGGGAGCCUGUAUCGGCAGCCAUGAGAAGGUCGUUGGUGACCCUAACAAGGGCUGUUUCAGUGCUGUGGCCAGAGCGAAAACCGGAUUGAAAUUUCUCAGCGAUGUUAUUGUGGGUGAGAUGAGUGUGAAAUUGGGCAGCUACCACUUUUUCCAGAACCUUGGAGAGGAACGGGAGGUUUGAUAUCGGUCUGUAGUUGGCAAGGUUGUCCGGGUCAAGUGAGGAUUUUUUUAGCAGGGGGGUAAUGAUGGCUGUCUUCAAUGCAGGGGGUACAGAGCCAGACUGGAGUGACAGGUUGAUGACAUUGGUUAAGUGACUAAUGGCUGAGGUUUGUUGUUUAAUGAGGGCUGUGGGGAAAGGGUCCAGGGCACAUGUGGAGGGUUUCAUCUUUUUGAUGAUGUCCUCUACCUCCGACUGCAAGAUGGGGGAGAAGCAGCGGAGAGGCUGGACUGUCCCGGGUGACAGGAAGGGGCUGGGAGCGGAUGUUGUCAACCUUAGCGGUGAAGAAGGUCAUGAAGUUAUUGCACACUACCUCUGAGGAGUCUGUUGAAGUGGUGGGUUGGGGUUUGAGAAAGUGGUUGAUGGUUGAAAAGAGCUGUUUUGAAUUUCCAGGGGUAUUGUUUAUGAUAUUGGAGUAGAACUGGGCACGUGCAGUCCCAAGGGCUUUUGAGUAGGCCUUCUGAUGUUCUUUGUAGGCCUGUUUGUGCACGGUCAGUCCUGAGGCUUUGAGACGACGCUCCAGGAUGCAUCCAGUUGACUUCAUCAGACGCAGCUCACUGGUGUACCAGGGGGCUGAGCAUGAAAAAGUGACUGUUUUGUUUUUUAUGGGGGCGUGGAUACCUAGAAGUUUGGCCAAAGAGUUAUUGUAAUAG